GUGUGUGUGUGUGCGCAGGACCGCGGACGCGGAGAAUGGUGCACGAACGCAUGAAUGUAAAUGUAAAUACUCGGACCGAUGUAUCAUAAUCUGCAUGAUGAUUAUUUCGCAUGGUACCAACACGCGCGUGCGUGCGCCCGCGCGUGCGCGCGCGCGCGAGAGACGGCGAGGAAA
This is a long non-coding RNA of Salarias fasciatus (jewelled blenny), 174 nucleotides long. RefSeq lists it as uncharacterized. The record is from RefSeq and is a predicted model, not a curated record. The transcript is spliced from 3 exons. Lineage: Eukaryota; Metazoa; Chordata; Actinopteri; Blenniiformes; Blenniidae.